AGUCGUACAGGUUUCCGUAGGUGACCUGCGGAAGGAUCAUUAUUGAAGUAAACCUGAUGAGUUGCUGCUGGUUCUUUCUCUAGGGAACAUGUGCACGCUUGUCAUCUUUAUAUCUCCACCUGUGCACCUUUUGUAGACCUUGAUAUCUUUCUGAGUGCUAGUCACGCAGGUUUGAGGAUUGACUUUAUGUCUUUCCUUACAUUUCUCGGUCUAUGUUUCUUAAUAUACUCCAAUGUAUGUUUUAGAAUGUAGUCAAAUGGGCCUUUGUGCCUAUAGAACUAUACAACUUUCAGCAACGGAUCUCUUGGCUCUCGCAUCGAUGAAGAACGCAGCGAAAUGCGAUAAGUAAUGUGAAUUGCAGAAUUCAGUGAAUCAUCGAAUCUUUGAACGCACCUUGCGCUCCUUGGUAUUCCGAGGAGCAUGCCUGUUUGAGUGUCAUUAAUGUAUGUCAACCUCUUUUGAGUGUUGGGAUGUGGGGGUCUUGUUUUGCUGGCCUUUUGUCCAAGAAGGUCAGCUCCCCUUAAAUGCAUUAGCGGAACCUUGUGUGGACCGUUCAUUGGUGUGAUAAUUAUCUACACUAUUGACGUGAAGCAGUUCAGCUUCUAACCGUCCAUUGGCUUGGACAAUGUUUCAUUAAUGUGACCUCAAAUCAGUAGGCUACCCGCUGA
Molecule: ribosomal RNA, 668 nt
Filed under: Cortinarius gracilior
Lineage: Eukaryota; Fungi; Basidiomycota; Agaricomycetes; Agaricales; Cortinariaceae
Description: eukaryotic LSU rRNA
Rfam family: 5.8S ribosomal RNA (bases 285-438)
Source: RNAcentral